Molecule: long non-coding RNA, 1219 nt
Organism: Amblyraja radiata (thorny skate)
Lineage: Eukaryota; Metazoa; Chordata; Chondrichthyes; Rajiformes; Rajidae
Exons: 2
Source: RefSeq, a predicted model, not a curated record
AGCGUCUGACUGUUGCCACAGCUCUUCCCUCCAUCCCAAACCUCUUGCUACACACUAGAUCCAAUCCCAGUGUUUUAUCCCACCAGCAUCACCCCACCCAAACUGCCUACUCUCAACAUAGAGUGCAGGACUGUGGCAAAGUACUUCACACUGUAACUGGAUACAUGGGUUACAGAGAAAUGUGGCCCAUUGAAACUGAGUACAAAGGUGCAGAGACUUCUGCAACUCUGGCUUCGGAAAAAUACUCCCCAUCCUUCGUUCUGUUUCCAGGUAACAUUGCAUUGGUAACAUGCCACCUGCCCAUGUCAGUGUGAUCCCGGGCACUUAAAGCACCACUAUUUAAAUGAUGCAGUGGUUUAUAACUGCCCAUUAACCAUAACCUACUGGUUAUUUUCAGAGCUGCUGACCUUGGUCCUCUGUUUAGUUUGGUGGAAACAAUUGUGCAAAUGGAUCAGUUCACACUUCAGAAUGAUACCACGAAUGUAAACACAAAUUGAAGUAAAUAGCUUGUUGAUGAGGUGCAGUUAUGUUUUGGGUAAAGAAACCCUCUUAACCUUCUCUAAGUGGGUCACUAUUUGGGCUCAAUACUGGACAGAGUUUGCACACAGCCAGAUGCAGAGUAUCAGUUGGUGAGAGCUGUAGGAUUCUAUAUAGUUGGGCCACAUUGUAACUGCAAUCCAAUAUAGAUGGCAAAAUGCACUUGCACAAAUACUUCUUCCGAAAUGGUGGGAAGGUUACAGAUAAAAUUAGAUGAAUGGAAUGGAGUCUCAAAUUGCAAUCAGUUGACAUGAUGCCACACAUUCCAGCUUUCUAAUGGUGCUAUUUAUACUACUAUGGUAAUGUUGACUUCCAGUGGGGGUGUGAUGCGGGGUUAGGGAUGUUCUGUUCACCAGCAUGUGGUGGUAUUGUGCAGCUUGUAAUGAGAGGCCUGUUCCACUCAGGAAAUUAAUUUUCAGUUUGGAUAAAAACACUUACAGAGAUGGAGGCAAUUCCAUUGAAUAAAAUGUACCCAAAUCAAUUGCAUCUCUCUGCUGCUGGUGGGGUGUGCCUGUUUUCCAUUGGAGAGCCGCAAAGCUUUGUAAUAUAUAUUUCCAGAUUUUUUUUGCAUUGAAAUAAUCAUCAGUCAUUCCACCGAUGUAUUUUCAUACAGUCUUCUGCAUCCAGAUUUGAAUAGUUCUGUACUGAAUACCAAAUAAAUAAAUGGAUUUUUCCAAAUAUA